UUAAUUGAAGCCAAAAAGAGGCAAAUCACUGUUAAUGAUUGUACUGGAUAUUUAUACCCCAAUUAAG
This 67-nucleotide transfer RNA is filed under the name Platypalpus agilis. Its description in RNAcentral is "tRNA-Asn". The record is from RNAcentral. Lineage: Eukaryota; Metazoa; Arthropoda; Insecta; Diptera; Hybotidae.